Molecule: long non-coding RNA, 438 nt
Filed under: Ananas comosus (pineapple)
Lineage: Eukaryota; Viridiplantae; Streptophyta; Magnoliopsida; Poales; Bromeliaceae
Description: long non-coding RNA (ACOM_LNC004268)
Source: RNAcentral
AACUUCUCUUUUCAACUUUCUCUUUUUACACCGACCAGUCCUAACGCAAAUAAUAAAGAAUUUGGUGGUUGAUACUCGAGAUCUCAAAUUUGAAUCUCAGUUGAUUUACAUUUCUAAUUAAAUUUAUUUCUAAACGAAAUAAACGAAACGGAUAGCAUGUUACUAUUUUUUUAAAAAAAAACUUUAACUUUACUGACUGCUAACCUUUCAAUUUUUUUGAUUCGAGUGAGUUAACGAUACAUUGACUUUAAAUUUUACAUUAAUUAUUUACUUUAAUGAGUUUAUAGUUGUGAAAAUUACAUGAAAUAUACUAACCUAUAAAAAUAAACGACGCAUUCAAAUUUUAAAGUUAAAGUGUACAUUAUUGACUAACUCAAAUCAAAUAAAUUGAAAGAUUAGAUAUAGCAAAUCCAAAUGGUCCACAGUUAAUGUAAAUUU